GACGAACGCUGGCGGCGUGCUUAACACAUGCAAGUCGAACGGAAAGGCCCUGCUUUUGUGGGGUGCUCGAGUGGCGAACGGGUGAGUAACACGUGAGUAACCUGCCCUUGACUUUGGGAUAACUUCAGGAAACUGGGGCUAAUACCGGAUAGGAGCUCCUGCUGCAUGGUGGGGGUUGGAAAGUUUCGGCGGUUGGGGAUGGACUCGCGGCUUAUCAGCUUGUUGGUGGGGUAGUGGCUUACCAAGGCUUUGACGGGUAGCCGGCCUGAGAGGGUGACCGGCCACAUUGGGACUGAGAUACGGCCCAGACUCCUACGGGAGGCAGAAGUGGGGAAUAUUGCACAAUGGGCGGAAGCCUGAUGCAGCAACGCCGCGUGCGGGAUGACGGCCUUCGGGUUGUAACCCGCUUUCGCCUGUGACGAAGCGUGAGUGACGGUAAUGGGUAAAGAAGCACCGGCUAACUACGUG
RNAcentral lists this ribosomal RNA (468 nucleotides) under uncultured bacterium. RNAcentral's name for it is "partial 16S ribosomal RNA". It matches the Rfam family "Bacterial small subunit ribosomal RNA", at positions 28 to 507 of the family's 1533-position model. The record is from RNAcentral.